UAGGAAAUCGCUAGCCUGUGAGUGCCA
RNAcentral lists this non-coding RNA (27 nucleotides) under Bombyx mori (domestic silkworm). The record is from RNAcentral. Lineage: Eukaryota; Metazoa; Arthropoda; Insecta; Lepidoptera; Bombycidae.